CUGAAAAAUAAGAACUUGCAAAAUAUGAGAGAUCAAAUUUCCAAGAUUUAAACUUUAUCCCCCCCCCCCCCCCCCAAAAAAAAAGAUCAAUUCAAGAAGCUUAUGAAACAUAAAUUAAACAAAAACCCAAUUCACAUUAUUAAUCAAAAAGCACCAAACGACACAUUGCAUUACAAAACUCCCACCAACUAUAAUCCAAACAAGAAAAAGAUUUAAACUUCAAAAAACAGAAUAAAAGAGCACAGUCUUUGGGGGGAAACAAAAUCAACUCACAAAAAUUAGCUUCAAUAUCUUCAAAAGACAAAGUAUGGUUCUUUCCUCCCACCAAUUAUAAUCCAAACAAGAAAAAGAUUUAAACUUAAAAAAACAGAAUAAAAAAGCAGUCUUUGGGGGGAAACAAGAUCAACUCACCAAAAUUAGCUUCAAUAUCUUCAAAAGACAAAGUAUGGUUCUUUCCUCCCACAAAUUACAAUCCAAACAAGAAAAAGAUUUAAACUUCAAAAAACAGAAUAAAAAAAGCAGUCUUUUGGGGGGAAAGAAGAUCAACUCACCAAAAUUAGCUUCAAUAUCUUCAAAAGACAAAGUAUGGUUCUUUCCUAUCAAAAUAACACUUCCAAUAGCUCCAUAACCCAUCAAAUACGCACAACUCAUCAACAAAAACACCCACAAAUUCAACAUCCCAAUUCCCAAAAAAAAAAAAAAAAAAAAAAAAAAAAAGAAAGAAAGAAAA
This is a long non-coding RNA of Lycium ferocissimum, 730 nucleotides long. RefSeq lists it as uncharacterized. NCBI's taxonomy places the organism in Eukaryota, Viridiplantae, Streptophyta, Magnoliopsida, Solanales, Solanaceae. The transcript is spliced from 2 exons. The record is from RefSeq and is a predicted model, not a curated record.